This 472-nucleotide ribosomal RNA is filed under the name uncultured Actinomycetes bacterium. RNAcentral's name for it is "bacterial SSU rRNA". It matches the Rfam family "Bacterial small subunit ribosomal RNA", at positions 111 to 594 of the family's 1533-position model. Lineage: Bacteria; Bacillati; Actinomycetota; Actinomycetes. The record is from RNAcentral.
UAACACGUGAGCAACCUGCCCCUAACUCUGGGAUAACGCUUCGAAAGGAGUGCUAAUACCGGAUAUGAGCCUGGAAGACAUCUUCUGGGUUGGAAAGUUUUUCGGUUAGGGAUGGGCUCGCGGCCUAUCAGCUAGUUGGUGAGGUAAAGGCUCACCAAGGCGACGACGGGUAUCCGGCCUGAGAGGGCGACCGGACACACUGGGACUGAGACACGGCCCAGACUCCUACGGGAGGCAGCAGUGGGGAAUAUUGCGCAAUGGGCGAAAGCCUGACGCAGCGACGCCGGCGUGAGGGAUGAAGGUCUUUCGGAUUGUAGACCUCUUUCAGCAGGGACGAAGCGAAAGUGACGGUACCUGCAGAAAGAAGCACCGGCUAACUACGUGCCAGCAGCCGCGGUAAUACGUAGGGUGCAAGCGUUGUCCGGAUUUAUUGGGCGUAAAGAGCUCGUAAGGCGGUUAGACACGUCGGAUG